GCGUCCGUAGCUCAGUUGGUUAGAGCACCACCUUGACAUGGUGGGGGUCGGUGGUUCGAGUCCACUACGGACGCACCA
This 78-nucleotide transfer RNA is filed under the name Vibrio cholerae. RNAcentral describes it as "tRNA-Val". It matches the Rfam family "tRNA". Rfam says of the family: Transfer RNA (tRNA) molecules are approximately 80 nucleotides in length. Their secondary structure includes four short double-helical elements and three loops (D, anti-codon, and T loops). The record is from RNAcentral. RNAcentral also lists the same sequence under 1 other name. Lineage: Bacteria; Pseudomonadati; Pseudomonadota; Gammaproteobacteria; Vibrionales; Vibrionaceae.